This 363-nucleotide ribosomal RNA is filed under the name uncultured Anoxybacillus sp. RNAcentral describes it as "bacterial SSU rRNA". It matches the Rfam family "Bacterial small subunit ribosomal RNA", at positions 1018 to 1382 of the family's 1533-position model. The record is from RNAcentral. Lineage: Bacteria; Bacillati; Bacillota; Bacilli; Caryophanales; Anoxybacillaceae.
UUCGGGGGACAGGGUGACAGGUGGUGGCAUGGUUGUCGUCAGCUCGUGUCGUGAGAUGUUGGGUUAAGUCCCGCAACGAGCGCAACCCUCGACCUUAGUUGCCAGCAUUCAGUUGGGCACUCUAAGGUGACUGCGGCUAAAAGUCGGAGGAAGGUGGGGAUGACGUCAAAUCAUCAUGCCCCUUAUGACCUGGGCUACACACGUGCUACAAUGGGCGGUACAAAGGGUCGCGAACCCGCGAGGGGGAGCCAAUCCCAAAAAGCCGCUCUCAGUUCGGAUUGCAGGCUGCAACUCGCCUGCAUGAAGCCGGAAUCGCUAGUAAUCGCGGAUCAGCAUGCCGCGGUGAAUACGUUCCCGGGCCUU